UUGUCUCAAUUUUGAGCAUUUUUUCCCGUUCAUUUGGUUUCAAAAUCAAAUGGAGUGGGACAGCGAUUUCGAUCCUAGCGGCGAAGAAGAUGUGGCUGAUGACGGAUAAGAAGAAGGAGCUUGUUGAUGACAAGAAGCUGGAGAUUCAGAAGCUGCUGAACCCUGAAGCUGAGCAGUUUAAUCAGGUUUAUGAUCAGCUUGUUUCCAUUGGGAGAUUGAUCACUAACUUCCAUAGGGAGGAGAGGAGAGAAGAGAAGAGAUAUAUUCUCAGGUAUUUGAAUCAGACUUUUGGCUGCCUUUGAUCUAGGAUCCCUUUUGGUUUGAGUUAUGGUUUGAUUGGGUUUCUCGAUCUUGUUUGGAUAUUUAUGUUGUUCUGUAUCUUGUUUUGAUCUGAAUCAAUUCAUCAUCAUCGUUCCUUGUAAUAGAAAUCUGUAGUUUGAUCUAUUGACUACAUUGUUUCUUAGUGCUGCUAUGACUUAUCUGAACAACCCUGCAGAUGAGAGGAGCAAAUAUAAGUAUAACGUCGACAAAGAAAUGACGCUUCUCAAGUGAAAAUGGCGGUGGACUGUUCAACAAAGCUACUGAGAAGCUGCAAGGGAGAAUCGGUUACCAGCAUGUGUAUGUAGAUUUCUCAGACCUUGAAGUCACAGUUCCUUAAAGUGUGAGGGAUGCGUGGGAGCUGUGAAACGAGUCCUAGGCAAAAUGCAAGUUGGAAGGGGUGAAUCGAUAAGAUCUAACAAAGAUGGCGAACUUGCAAGUUUCUGGAAUAAUUGAAAAUGAACAACGCAGACGCAGCGAACAAUGUUAGCAAACGGACAGGAACUGUUUGCACUGAUGAUAACACUUUCAUGCUCUCCAUAGUUUUCACCAGUGGCCAAUCCAUGUUGCUUGUUCACGUUGGCUUUCUCAUUCUAAUUGUAUCUUCUCUCUUUGUCCUCCUCAAUUGGUUUCUCAUUCGUCUAUGUGUCUAGCUUAUCAAUCCUUUGACUUGUUUUAAUUUAGGAUUCAAACAUUGGUCUGUUUAUUGACAGCAUAAGAUGUCGAGAUGGAAAACACCAUUGGACGUUCUUUU
Molecule: long non-coding RNA, 1072 nt
Organism: Raphanus sativus (radish)
Lineage: Eukaryota; Viridiplantae; Streptophyta; Magnoliopsida; Brassicales; Brassicaceae
Exons: 3
Source: RefSeq, a predicted model, not a curated record